AGCAUUACCAUUUCAUGGGUCUGACACGUGGCCAAAGACUUUAGGAUGGGUGCAAGAAUUAAAAUCCUCUUUUGCAACCCAGGACUCAUUGUUCUGUAUGUGUUCUGAUACACGUAAGAAAGAAUGUU
This is a small nucleolar RNA of Sorex fumeus (smoky shrew), 128 nucleotides long. RefSeq annotates it as small nucleolar RNA SNORA40. The transcript has a single exon. NCBI's taxonomy places the organism in Eukaryota, Metazoa, Chordata, Mammalia, Eulipotyphla, Soricidae. The record is from RefSeq and is a predicted model, not a curated record.